AGUCUUAUAUUCAUUAAUGAUAUAAAAUUGCAAAUUUUAAGGUGUAAUACAAUACUAAGGCUU
Molecule: transfer RNA, 63 nt
Filed under: Periacma orthiodes
Lineage: Eukaryota; Metazoa; Arthropoda; Insecta; Lepidoptera; Noctuidae
Description: tRNA-Cys
Source: RNAcentral